Molecule: ribosomal RNA, 496 nt
Filed under: uncultured bacterium
Lineage: Bacteria
Description: partial 16S ribosomal RNA
Rfam family: Bacterial small subunit ribosomal RNA
Source: RNAcentral
GAUGAACGCUGGCGGCGUGCCUAAUACAUGCAAGUCGAGCGAACGGACGAGAAGCUUGCUUCUCUGAUGUUAGCGGCGGACGGGUGAGUAACACGUGGAUAACCUACCUAUAAGACUGGGAUAACUUCGGGAAACCGGAGCUAAUACCGGAUAAUAUUUUGAACCGCAUGGUUCAAAAGUGAAAGACGGUCUUGCUGUCACUUAUAGAUGGAUCCGCGCUGCAUUAGCUAGUUGGUAAGGUAACGGCUUACCAAGGCAACGAUGCAUAGCCGACCUGAGAGGGUGUCCGCCCCCCCGGAACCGGGACAACGGUCCAGCUCCUUAGGGAGGGCGCCGUAGGGGAACCUGCGGAAAUGGGCGAAGCCUUGAGGGGGCAACGCGGGGGGGUUAAUGAGGGUCUCCGAUUGGAAAACCUUGGUUAUAGGGAAAAAACAAAUGUGUAGUUACCGUUGACCAUCUGAACGUUACCAAAUCAGAAGGCAACGCUAACCUCCGU